This 301-nucleotide ribosomal RNA is filed under the name uncultured bacterium. RNAcentral describes it as "partial 16S ribosomal RNA". It matches the Rfam family "Bacterial small subunit ribosomal RNA", at positions 509 to 807 of the family's 1533-position model. The record is from RNAcentral.
CAGCAGCCGCGGUAAUACGAAGGGUGCAAGCGUUACUCGGAAUUACUGGGCGUAAAGCGUGCGUAGGUGGUGGGUUAAGUCGGUUGUGAAAGCCCUGGGCUCAACCUGGGAAUUGCAGUGGAUACUGGGUCACUAGAGUGUGGUAGAGGAUAGUGGAAUUUCCGGUGUAGCAGUGAAAUGCGUAGAGAUCGGAAGGAACAUCUGUGGCGAAGGCGACUAUCUGGGCCAACACUGACACUGAGGCACGAAAGCGUGGGGAGCAAACAGGAUUAGAUACCCCGGUAGUCCCUGUCUCUUAUAC